RNAcentral lists this ribosomal RNA (712 nucleotides) under Triticum aestivum (bread wheat). Its description in RNAcentral is "partial small subunit ribosomal RNA". Lineage: Eukaryota; Viridiplantae; Streptophyta; Magnoliopsida; Poales; Poaceae. The record is from RNAcentral.
CGAUUUAGGUUGCUUAACCGGAGGGGCAUGAGUCUAGCAGAAGGAGGGGAAACGGUCUAAGACAUGGUCAUGUAGGAGAACUUCGAUCCCAAUUCCAGGUCGCUUGAGUUUCUAACUAGAGUCUCGAAUUGCUUUGCGCCGACAGAGAGGGAGAAAACAUGGUGAGUCCGCUUAAUCCCAAUAAUUUAAAGCUGCCAGAGAGAGUUUUUAGGCGGCGGCCGCGGCGGCGGCGGCAGUCGUGAUAGGUUGCUAUCGGCGGCGGCAGUCGUGAUAGGUUGCUAUCGGCGGCGGCAGUCGUGAUAGGUUGCUAUCGUCGAGUUCCUACAUCCAGUAAUGCCUCAGAGUAACGGGCCUCGGCCAUUUAGACAACUUCUCGGACUCGAUACUGACCCAUUAGAAGUCUCCUCAGUAGAAGUAUCCAGAGGUUCUACCGUAACUACUUUGACUAUUAAAGUGGAGAGUAUGAUCAGGUCUAGCACAUACCGACAGAGUCCGAAGUCAAAAACAUCGUGGUACAUUAGUAGUUCUUACAUGUAAACGAUCUUUUAGAACAUACGUCCAAAAGACAUCAAAUGUACUCACCAACAACAUGUUAUAUGUCUACGAACACAACAAGGCUACACUUUCUACACUACAAGAACGUAUCUUCGUAGAUUUAUUUUACAUAAGUCUAUAGAAAACCAACAAUGGCCAUGACUAAAUCGUCCCGUCG